Molecule: transfer RNA, 66 nt
Filed under: Raillietina sonini
Lineage: Eukaryota; Metazoa; Platyhelminthes; Cestoda; Cyclophyllidea; Davaineidae
Description: partial tRNA-Thr
Source: RNAcentral
AUUUUUGUUUUAUUAUAAGUUAAUAUAGAUUAUAUUUGUAAAUCAUGAUGCUGUUAACUUCAGGAA